This 1507-nucleotide long non-coding RNA is filed under the name Salmo salar (Atlantic salmon). RNAcentral's name for it is "lncRNA (ENSSSAG00000100956.1)". The record is from RNAcentral. Lineage: Eukaryota; Metazoa; Chordata; Actinopteri; Salmoniformes; Salmonidae.
GGAAGUAUUAACCAAUUUGAAAGAAUAGUUUCAAUAGAAUGUGUUGUUAUUCUCUUUGAAUAAUGUUUAGACAUUUGCAUUAAGAAUAAUUGGUAAAAGUAAUAAUUUAUCAUGUAGUUAAUGAACUGAACUAAACUGUUGUUCUGAUCUGUUCUUUCGAGGUUAUCAUGAAAAGUGACAUCAGACGGUAUCUUAAUGCAUGGAAGAGAUAAUUGGACCGAAAAGUGUGUGUACCUCAAACCCCCUCUAAUUGGCUGAAGAAGGAGUGACGAAGGCGUUGAAUAUGGCCCUGCCCGAACCAUUUCUACUGAGAGGAAUGGCCGAGCCAGCAACCGGUGUACAGUAUCCGAUCUAAGCUAUCAACUGCCUUUCUCUCAUGUUUCUCUCAGGAGUGUGAGAGGAGUCCACAUGGAGUGAGCAUGGAGAAAGGUGCUGUUCUAAACUAUUCUUAUGUUGCUGAUAUAUUGGUUGACGAAUGGACAAGACAUAAUGGGUAUCUAAGGUGAAACAUUUACAUUGGGACAUUAUAAUGGGUCAUUCACUUUGAACUUUAAAGUUAUCUGAAGAAGAACGAAGAGGACGCCAGAAGAAUCAGUGCCUGGAGAGAGGGGUUUGGUCAACUGUGCCCAUAACUGUUUAGACUUUUGGGGUAUCAGGUUGAUUGUAGAGGUCUACACCACGUAAAAUUAUAGUCAUUUAGAUUAAGAAUGCAUUGAGAUACUGAUCUGUAGAAUAAUCGUGAUAAAAUUGUUAAUAGUAGAAAUUAUGGGAUAAUUAUACUGGAUGUUUCUAUUUAGUCUAGCACGCACAAGUCGGAGAGUCGUCUAUAUAAGCAACAAAGUAAAUCACUAAAGAAUACAUUUAUGAAGUUAGACAUUAGUAUUUAGGCCUGUUCAACAUUAAUUCUUCAAUAGCAAACUAUGCAGUAUUUUUUUUUUAUUUUUUUUUAGGUAUUAUUCUUACAUUGUUACCCCAGGAAAUCUUAAGUCUUAUACAUACAGCCGGGAAGAACUAUUGGAUAUAAGAGCGACGUCAACUUACCAACAUUGCGACCAGGAAUACGAUUUUCCCGAAGCGGAUCCUCUGUUUGGACCACCACUCAGGACAAUGGAUCUAAUCCCAGAAGCUGACCCAAGACAACGGCGCUGCAGAAGGGGCAGACGGAGCGGCCUCCUGGUCAGGCUCCGUAGAUGUGCACAUCGCCCACCGCUCCCGAGUAUACUACUCACCAAUGUCCAGUCUCAUGACAACAAGGAUGCCGGUGGGCGGAGUUGGAAGGGUCGUCAGCUAAAUGGGAAACACCUGGGCCCAGCUGUGUCCCAGGAUAAAGAGACCUCUUCCACAGUUAUUGAGAGGACUCUCUCCAUGCAGACACUUUGUUGAUUUUGGUUGUGUAGUUUUGUGGCUUUUUGGUUAUUUCCUUUGGCACCUUUCAACACCCUGCAUUAUUACAUUCAGGUAUGCAAAACACUCACUUACACUACUGAUUACUGAUUACACACACGCC